CGCACACCCAUGUGUGUAGGACCUCAAAGGUUACCAUUAAAUUUGGCACAGAUCUCAAAAAAAGUUGUCACAUUGGUGUGGGACUUGACUUUUCUAGAGAUCUGUACCAAAUUUAAUGGUGAUCCUUUGGGGUCCUAUACACGUGGGUGUGGG
RNAcentral lists this microRNA precursor (153 nucleotides) under Amborella trichopoda. RNAcentral's name for it is "MIR8565 microRNA precursor family". It matches the Rfam family "MIR8565 microRNA precursor family". The record is from Rfam by way of RNAcentral. Lineage: Eukaryota; Viridiplantae; Streptophyta; Magnoliopsida; Amborellales; Amborellaceae.